This 374-nucleotide ribosomal RNA is filed under the name uncultured organism. RNAcentral describes it as "partial 16S ribosomal RNA". It matches the Rfam family "Bacterial small subunit ribosomal RNA", at positions 527 to 896 of the family's 1533-position model. The record is from RNAcentral.
GUAGGGGGCAAGCGUUGUCCGGAAUUAUUGGGCGUAAAGCGCGCGCAGGCGGCUAUUCAAGUCUGGUGUUUAAACCUUGGGCUCAACCUGAGGUCGCACUGGAAACUGGGUGGCUUGAGUACAGAAGAGGAAAGUGGAAUUCCACGUGUAGCGGUGAAAUGCGUAGAGAUGUGGAGGAACACCAGUGGCGAAGGCGACUUUCUGGGCUGUAACUGACGCUGAGGCGCGAAAGCGUGGGGAGCAAACAGGGAUUAGAUACCCUGGUAGUCCACGCCGUAAACGAUGAGUGCUAGGUGUUAGGGGUUUCGAUACCCCUUGGUGCCCGAAGUUAACACAGUAAGCACUCCGCCUGGGGGAGUACGGUCGCAAGACUG